CCUUUUAAGACUUGGGGAUGCCUGAAGGUCUUUCUUUUCCUUGGCCUUCGUUUACAGUACAAUUGGUCCUUUAUACAUUGUGUGUGGGAGGCUGGGGUAAGUUGAGGGAGGGGGAGCAUGCAGGCAGGUAUACAAACCCUAAUUCAGCUCUCUCCCAAGGUCAGGGUCCUGCACUCUGGGACUCUUCACUAGAACUUUGUAGAUGUUUCCAACAGUCCCAAAGACCUCACAUGUGGCCGCCGGAUCCCACACCUUAGUUCAUUCAUUCUGGCCCAGAAUAAGCACUUGGCCAUCUUCCCAGCCUCUGAGCCCCUAGGUCUUUCUCCUAUUCUUUACUAACUGUGGCCUUAGCCCUUGGUUAAAGACUUAGGCAGAAAAUACAUUUCCUUCAGGCAGUCUGACAGCUGGAGCCAAUGGGAAACGAGUAGCGUGCUGGAGAAGCCUGAUUCCUGGGCUGGGCUGGGCUGUGUGGUAGCGUGAGAGCAACGGCCACAACCAACGGCAGAAGGGGGACCCUUAAACAGCUGCACUUUGGGGCAUGAGGCAGAAAAUGUUUCUUUCUACCUGCUCCCCGAGGCAGGGACAAACAGCAGUGACUCUGGGUGACUGAAGAUGAAGUAAUUGCUGGGUUCUGAUUAGGAAUCUUGAGGAAGAUUGUGUUCUGCCCACGCACCAGCCUCCGAGUGGCUGAGGGUGCUGGAGGGAGAGGAUAAGGAGGGAGGUGGCCCCUGUCGGCUCUGAUAAGCAGGUGAGCUGCUGCUUUCUCCAUGGGGCUUCCCAGCCCGCUGUGGCUGGUUAGCCUAAGUCUGGUUCAGAGAUGCCAGCUGGGUGCUCUGGCAAUGCCAGAGCGUUGGCUCCAGUUAGCCAGGGCAUACAGGCUUUCCUCGUCCUGUCCUCUGCAGUGGCCACAGCACCCAGCUGUUCCUCUCUCUCAGAAGGCCGCCAGGCAGUCUCUCCGCAAAACCUCCAUAGAGACUAUCUUCAGUUCCAGGUCCUCUCCUCCUGGCUGAGCCCCAGGAAGACACCUUGGGCUGAGUUCGGGGUGACAUUGGGCUCCAGCUGCAGCGAACAGGCCCUCCUCGCCAGGAGACCACCCUUCAGUCUCUGCUUCACAGCUUGGACACCAGCCCCGAAGCAGGGAAAAGACAGAUGUACUAAUUGUCAUGGAUGGCAAACUGUGCCCCCAAACUUGUACCGAGCCUCAAAGCUUCGGUUUAAUACUCUUAAAGGAGUCAUAGACCCAAUGUGACAUUUUGCAUGCGGGAACCUCUUAUUAGCUACCUCCAAAUUAUAGAUGCUUCAUGAAUAGAGACACCUACAUUAUAUGAAGUUCUCUUCUGGGCUGUAAACUUUCUGAGACAGGUCUUCUGGGAAAUCGCUCUCUACAUUCCAGGACUGCAAUGCCUACUACAGACCCUUGCAUAUCGAUGUUUCUAAAAUAGCCGUCUUCCCAUGACAUUAUUUUCUGCUGGCCUAGAGGUCAGUUCCAGAGGGAGGAACGCUGCCACCAGGAGACACAACAACGAUUCCAUUAAACUGGAAGUUAAGAUUGCCACCUGGACACUUUGGGCUCUUCUUACCUUUAAGUCAACAGGCUAGUAAGGGAAUUACAGUGUUGGUUGGGGUGACUGACCCAGACUAUCAAGAUGAAAUCAGUCUACUACUCCACAAUGGAGGGAAGGAAGAGCAUUCGUGGAAUACAGGAGAUCCAUUAGGGCGUUUCUUAAUAUUACCAUGCCCUGUGAGUAAGGUCAAUGGAAACUACAACUGCCCAAUCCAGGCAGGACUACAAAUGACCCAGACCCUUCAGGAAUGAAGGUUUGGGUCACUCCCCCAGG
Long non-coding RNA from Sapajus apella (tufted capuchin), 1838 nucleotides. RefSeq lists it as uncharacterized. The transcript has 2 exons. NCBI's taxonomy places the organism in Eukaryota, Metazoa, Chordata, Mammalia, Primates, Cebidae. The record is from RefSeq and is a predicted model, not a curated record.